GACGAACGCUGGCGGCAUGCCUUACACAUGCAAGUCGAACGGCAGCGGACCUUCGGGUGCCGGCGAGUGGCGAACGGGUGAGUAAUAUAUCGGAACGUACCUUUCAGUGGGGGAUAACGUAGCGAAAGUUACGCUAAUACCGCAUAUUCUGUGAGCAGGAAAGCAGGGGAUCGCAAGACCUUGCGCUGAUUGAGCGGCCGAUGUCAGAUUAGCUAGUUGGUGGGGUAAAGGCCCACCAAGGCGACGAUCUGUAGCGGGUCUGAGAGGAUGAUCCGCCACACUGGGACUGAGACACGGCCCAGACUCCUACGGGAGGCAGCAGUGGGGAAUUUUGGACAAUGGGCGCAAGCCUGAUCCAGCCAUGCCGCGUGCGGGACGAAGGCC
This 384-nucleotide ribosomal RNA is filed under the name uncultured bacterium. RNAcentral's name for it is "bacterial SSU rRNA". It matches the Rfam family "Bacterial small subunit ribosomal RNA", at positions 28 to 416 of the family's 1533-position model. The record is from RNAcentral.